RNAcentral lists this ribosomal RNA (443 nucleotides) under uncultured bacterium. RNAcentral's name for it is "partial 16S ribosomal RNA". It matches the Rfam family "Bacterial small subunit ribosomal RNA", at positions 338 to 795 of the family's 1533-position model. The record is from RNAcentral.
CCUACGGGAGGCAGCAGUGGGGAAUAUUGGGCAAUGGGCGCAAGCCUGACCCAGCAACGCCGCGUGAAGGAAGAAGGCUUUCGGGUUUGAAACUUCUUUUAUCAGGGACGAAGCAAGUGACGGUACCUGAUGAAUACGUCACGGCUAACUACGUGCCAGCAGCCGCGGUAAUACGUAGGUUGCAAUCGUUAUCCGGAUUUACUGGGUGGAAAGGGCGUGUAGGCGGGAUGUCAAGUCAGAUGUGAAAACUAUGGGCUCAACCCAUAGCCUGCAUUUGAAACUGUACUUCUUGAGUGCUGGGGAGGCAAGCGGAAUUCCGUGUGUAGCGGUGAAAUGCGUAGAUAUAAGGAAGAACACCAGUUGCGAAGGCAGAUUGCUGGACAGGAACUGACGCUGAGGCGCGAAAGCGUGGGGAGCAAACAGGAUUAGAUACCCGGGUAGUC